CAGUAGCCGCGGGAAAACGUAGGUGGCAAGCGUUGUCCGGAAUUAUUGGGCGUAAAGGGCUCGCAGGCGGUUUCUUAAGUCUGAUGUGAAAGCCCCCGGCCCAACCGGGGAGGGUCAUUGGAAACUGGGAAACUUGAGUGCAGAAGAGGAGAGUGGAAUUCCACGUGUAGCGGUGAAAUGCGUAGAGAUGUGGAGGAACACCAGUGGCGAAGGCGACUCUCUGGUCUGUAACUGACGCUGAGGAGCGAAAGCGUGGGGAGCGAACAGGAUUAGAUACCCCCGUAGUCCCUGUCUCUUAUAC
This 301-nucleotide ribosomal RNA is filed under the name uncultured bacterium. RNAcentral describes it as "partial 16S ribosomal RNA". It matches the Rfam family "Bacterial small subunit ribosomal RNA", at positions 509 to 807 of the family's 1533-position model. The record is from RNAcentral.